Molecule: ribosomal RNA, 253 nt
Filed under: uncultured bacterium
Lineage: Bacteria
Description: partial 16S ribosomal RNA
Rfam family: Bacterial small subunit ribosomal RNA
Source: RNAcentral
UACAGAGGGUGCGAGCGUUAAUCGGAAUUACUGGGCGUAAAGCGCACGUAGUCGGCUUUGCAAGUCGGGUGUGAAAUCCCCGGGCUCAACCUGGGAACUGCAUCCGAGACUGCAUUGCUAGAGUAUGGGAGAGGGAAGCGGAAUUUCUGGUGUAGCAGUGAAAUGCGUAGAUAUCAGAAGGAACAUCAGUGGCGAAAGCGGCUUCCUGGACCAGAACUGACGAUCAGGCUCGAAAGCGUGGGGAGCAAACAGG